CUUUACUGUAUACUGAAAUUGAAUUAAAAUUUUAUUAGCGUAGAAUAAGUGGGAGAUUAUGAUAUUAUUUUUUAGGAAAUAAUUGAAUCGUUAAUGAAAUACCACUCUUAUAAAAUUAAAAAAUUCUAAUUUUAUAUCAUUAUAUGAUUAAAAAACAGUUUUAGAUAGACAGUUUGACUGGGGCGGUCGCCUCCUAAAAAGUAACGGAGGCGUACAAAGGUUUUCUCAAAUCGGUCAGAAAUCGAUUGAAGAAUAUAAAGGUAUAAGAAAGCUUAACUGUAAGACAAACAAGUCAAACAGAAACGAAAGUUGGUCUUAAUGACCUAACGAUACUUUAUGGAAAGAUCGUUAAUCAACGGAUAAAAGUUA
Molecule: ribosomal RNA, 369 nt
Filed under: uncultured organism
Description: bacterial LSU rRNA
Rfam family: Bacterial large subunit ribosomal RNA
Source: RNAcentral